GAUGAACGCUGGCGGCGUGCCUAACACAUGCAAGUCGAGCGAUCUCUUCGGAGAGAGCGGCGGACGGGUGAGUAACGCGUGGGUAACCUGCCCUGUACACACGGAUAACAUACCGAAAGGUAUGCUAAUACGGGAUAAUAUAUAAAAGUCGCAUGGCUUUUAUAUCAAAGCUUUUGCGGUACAGGAUGGACCCGCGUCUGAUUAGCUAGUUGGUAAAGUAACGGCUUACCAAGGCGACGAUCAGUAGCCGACCUGAGAGGGUGAUCGGCCACACUGGAACUGAGACACGGUCCAGACUCCUACGGGAGGCAGCAGUGGGGAAUAUUGCACAAUGGGCGAAAGCUUGAUGCAGCGACGCCGCGUGAGCGAUGAAGGCCUUCGGGUCGUAAAGCUCUGUCCUCAAGGAAGAUAAUGACGGUGCUUGAGGAGGAAGCCCCGGCUAACUACGUGCCAGCCGCCGCAGUAA
RNAcentral lists this ribosomal RNA (466 nucleotides) under uncultured bacterium. Its description in RNAcentral is "partial 16S ribosomal RNA". It matches the Rfam family "Bacterial small subunit ribosomal RNA", at positions 28 to 523 of the family's 1533-position model. The record is from RNAcentral.